This 460-nucleotide ribosomal RNA is filed under the name uncultured bacterium. RNAcentral's name for it is "partial 16S ribosomal RNA". It matches the Rfam family "Bacterial small subunit ribosomal RNA", at positions 338 to 795 of the family's 1533-position model. The record is from RNAcentral.
CCUACGGGUGGCAGCAGUGAGGAAUAUUGGUCAAUGGACGAGAGUCUGACCCCGCCAAGUAGCGUGAAGGAUGACUGCCCUAUGGGUUGUAAACUUCUUUUAUAAAGGAAUAAAACGAGGCACGUGUGCCUUUUUGCAUGUACUUUAUGAAUAAGGAUCGGCUAACUCCGUGCCAGCCGCCGCGGUAAUACGGAGGAUCCGAGCGUUAUCCGGAUUGAUUGGGUUUAAAGGGAGCGUAGAUGGGUUGUUAAGUCAGUUGUGAAAGUUUGCGGCUCAACCGUAAAAUUGCAAUUGAUACUGGCAGUCUUGAGUACAGUUGAGGUAAGCGGAAUUCGUGGUGUAGCGGUGAAAUGCUUAGAUAUCACGAAGAACCCCGAUUGCGAAGGCAGCUUACUAAACUGUGACUGACAUUGAUGCUCGAAAGUGUGGGUAUCAAACAGGAUUAGAUACCCCAGUAGUC